Molecule: transfer RNA, 61 nt
Filed under: Glycera unicornis
Lineage: Eukaryota; Metazoa; Annelida; Polychaeta; Phyllodocida; Glyceridae
Description: tRNA-Gly
Source: RNAcentral
UCUUCUUCAGUAUGAGGGUACAUUUGCCUUCCAAGCAAAAAGAUUAACACUAAAAGAAGCA